CCCAAUUCUAAUUUAAUUCAGAAGAACAAACAGGGCAUCACUCAGCGGACUUCAAAUCCCCAGUCAGAAGAUUUUGCCCGUGGAGCAAAUCGUUUCAUGGGCCAUCUACCCCACCUACUCCCUCCUGCCACAGCAAGGAGGUGAAAAUAGCUCAUGAAGCCAUGGGGAGUUCAAAGUGGAACUGUGAAGUUUCCCAAGCUCCAUGCAGGUCACUGAAGUCCACCCUGCAAACAACAGUCCUUCACCUUCUGAAGACCUGUCACCUAUGAAGC
This 272-nucleotide long non-coding RNA is filed under the name Homo sapiens (human). RNAcentral describes it as "non-protein coding LINC02097:5". The record is from RNAcentral. Lineage: Eukaryota; Metazoa; Chordata; Mammalia; Primates; Hominidae.